UUUUUCAAAUUGUCAUUUGUGCUUCCUAACUUUGCGAGGGACUGCGUGUGCACCUUAACUCGUUCGUUUUUUUAUCUAUUAUACCUUUAUUGGUCCAGUCAAUAAGGCGCGUCAAUACACUCUAAAAUUCACACGUGAAGGUUGUAAUUCUCAUACAGUUGAUAUUUUUAAUUAUUAAUACACUUACUUUUUCCUCUCCUCCAUCUCUCCUUCUCUUCAUCUUUUUUUUUUCUUGCAAUUCUUGAAGCUAUAAAUCUAUGGAGAAGAAACAAUUCUUGCUUUCUCAAUUUGAUUUUUUUUUUUCUUCUCUUUUUCUCUUUCCCUUUCUCUCUCUCUCCAGACUUGUUUUUCCCUUUUUAUCUUUUUAUUUAUCUCUCCAUGAUUGUUUGAUAAUGGGUCUUUGUUUGAAGGAAGAUUUGAUGAGUAAAAAAAUGGAAAAGAAGAUUUGAAGAAGAAAGGAAAAGAGGCCCAUCACCUCCACCAUUGCUGCGCUACACAGGUCAAAACUAGAGAGGAAGAUGGAGAGGCAACGGCGGCAGGUAUGGAUCGAUCAAAAAGUGGAGAGGGAGGAGUCGAAAAUGGAGAAAGAGGAGUCAAUGUUGGCUGGACACAAGUAGAUGAUCAAAAAAAUAAAUAAAUAAAAAUAAAGGGGGAGGGCUGUGCAAAAUCGGGGAGAAGGGAGAAGAUAGAUUUAAGUUGGGGCAGACUCGGGUUGAUUAAGGUCCAAUUUGGCCCAUAUCAUGGAUUUUUCCUUGGUUUUUAAUUGGUUUAUAGAGUUCUAAUGGGUUUAAAUUGGUUUAGCACAUAUAAAUGCCAUGUGAAAUAAAAUAUGUUGACGUGUUUAAAAAAAAUGCCACGUAAAACUGAUUGUAUUUUACACUCAAUUUUAUGACUAAACGGGAUGUAAAAUAUAUAAAAAAAUAAAUUCAGAGGCACGUUAGGUCUCCUACAAAGUUAAAGUUGACAGAUAAUUAAAAUGAAAAAGUUCAGGAGAAUUUUAUGCAUUCCGUCGUAUAAUAUAACAAUGAUGUUAUGUA
This is a non-coding RNA of Jatropha curcas, 1037 nucleotides long. The record is from RefSeq and is a predicted model, not a curated record. NCBI's taxonomy places the organism in Eukaryota, Viridiplantae, Streptophyta, Magnoliopsida, Malpighiales, Euphorbiaceae.